This 1645-nucleotide long non-coding RNA is filed under the name Gadus morhua (Atlantic cod). Its description in RNAcentral is "lncRNA (ENSGMOG00000024161.1)". Lineage: Eukaryota; Metazoa; Chordata; Actinopteri; Gadiformes; Gadidae. The record is from RNAcentral.
GGAGAUACUAGUGUUCCGGGUCCAGACGGGAAGCCUGUAAGUGUAUAUUUAUACUUUAUAUUCAAUCUGCCAGUUUUCAUGACAUAUUUACAACCAUAUUUGACCUAAUGUUCUUCAUAAAUUCAUGUGUUAGCAAACACCUCAUUGUACAUAUCUACACAAGUCGGAGAUAUCAGAAACCGAUCGGGCCUCAACAGAGAGAGGCCGGCCCGUCCCGGUAGCAGAUGUGCAGUCCAUGUGCACACAGGUGGGGCCCGCUGAUGAACUGUGGGGUUCUUCUGUGUUUCCAGGGCCCACCGGGCACAGAUGGAGAGCCUGGGAGCCCUGGCGUGGUGGUUCGUACCCCUCUUCUGUUAUGUGUAUCAAAAGCCAUUCGAGGUUUAGAGGUCCGCGGUGGAUGUGAGAGUGGGGACAGGGGAGUGCGCCCCCCCUCACCUUUCUUUUGAUGGCAACUCGUUGCCGUACUGCUGUUCUCAAAGUUGGUAAAAGUAAUAAAUAAAAGGACCACAGGUCGGGUUAAAUGUGUAGACAUGCCUUUCAUAUUUCCUGCAAUGUUUGCAAGUGCUGUUAUGGUUUACAUCCGUAUGCUCAUCCUGUGUUUCUGUGGUGGUGCGUGCGUGCUUGCGUGCGUGUGUGUGUGUGCGUGUGUGUGUGUGUGUGUGUGUGUGUGUGUGUGUGUGUGUGUGUGUGUGUGUGUGUGUGUGUGUGUGUGUGUGUGUGUGUGUGUGUGUGUGUGUGUGUGUGUGUCAUAGGGCCCUGCUGGUCCUGUCGGUGGAAAAGGAGAAGUGGGAAGGUGGAAAUCCCCUUUAACAGAAGGUGUGAAGUCAACUGCUCUUUCAAAAGAUAGAAACCAUCAAAUAUAUAUCAGGUCAUUUACCGGUACGCUGUGUGGAGUAUGGUGUAAUUCUUGGUAACGGUCACACAUUUAUCAGCCCACAUUGCUCUCUUCAUUGCACAACACGUCUCCCCACUAUAGAUGCCUGAACUGGUAAUCCUUUGUUGCCCAAUAGGCCCAUGUCUCCUGGCCACACACACUGCACACACACAGACCACUUCCUAAUAGUUUAUGAUCCACUGCCUCUGACUCUGUCAGACAGCGUUGUUCAAUCGUCCAAUGUUGAGCCACACUUCAGAAGGAUGUAUAUCCGUUUUUUAAUCCUUUCGCAAUGUCAGAAUGAGACAACAUUUCAUCCCAAAUCAAUAUUUAAUUCAAAUAAAAUGUUGGGGUACUUCUUAACUCACCAACCCAUAUGUAACCUAAAGAUAUUUGUUACCCUCAGCCAUUGUGCUGAGUAAGAUGUGUGACUUCGAUGUUUCAGGAUCCUUCGUAUCAAAGGGUUGUUCUGUCCGUCUGUCCGUCAGAGGGGGGCUGCGGGGGUUCCUGGUGCCAGGGGGGCCGAGGGGAGGACGGGUGCAGACGGGCACCCAGGACACGAGGGCAUCCGGGGCGUCCCGGGGCAGGACGGGUCGCCAGGGCAACCAGGAGUCAACGGCUACCCGGGGACUCCAGUGAGUUGGACCACUUUCCUCUCCCAAUGGAAUUACAAAUGUCAUCUUUUCCUUCCUUUUAGUAAAAAACGGAGUAAAGGCCAAUCAGGCAACGUGCAGUCAGGUACUAUGUCGUUAAGAUGUGGUUAGAUGCAGG